ACUAAACCCUGGUAGGAAAAGGUUAAGAUCUCAAGGAAGACAAGACUUGGGCCAAGGCAGAUUGAGGGGAGGUGUCAAUACUCAGAGAAACCACAGCCACAGAAUUGUAAGGACUUGAAGAUAUGACUUUGUAUGACAUUUACCUGGAUUUACCCUUCUGUCAAAGUGACUGCAGUGAUCUGAUUUCACAAAGAGAGACACACACUACAGAAGAGAUUGGGAAGUGGAGGAGGUGAAAAUAAAACCACAUGUGACUGCUUUAAGAAUAGCAUCUCCACCAUUACUUGAUAAAAACUUUUUCAGUCCAACAAUAAUUCCCAAAGGGAAACAUCAUCCAUACAACAAACAGCAGCUGAAAAGUCUGUUCUUGUGAGCUGUGUCGUCGUUUUAUCCUCUCCACACUCUCUGCAUUUAGUUUGGUGCCAGGCAAAUUGUCUACCAAGACACUGAGCCAAUUAGGGGUAAGCUUUGUAGGAACAGCAAACCUGAAGAACGCCUCCUCACACAGGGUUACAUCUAAAGGGGGCUUUAGAUGACGUCUCAUUCGAGAAGAAUCCAUCUGGACAUCUUUUGCAAACUGUAUUUCGCUCUGGAGUUCCUACAGAAAACACCAAGCCAUUUAGCACAUUCUUCUCCAAUACUCUCACAACAGAUACCAUCUUCACAGAGUUUUGGUAGUGCUGUCCAUGGGAACAGAAGUGGUGUCCAUGUUUUCCAUUCUGUCCCUAGUGCCUAAGGGGCAUGCCUGGUACAAAGGACUCAAUAGGCGUAAUGCUGCUAGUUCUUAGAACUACAUCCUGGUGUUUACAAAAGGGCAUUUGGACUCUUCAUGUGUAAGUACAAAGUUCCUUUUUUCAAUUACUUAUAAAAUAAAGUCAAUCUCAGAAACUGCAGA
Molecule: long non-coding RNA, 895 nt
Organism: Phacochoerus africanus (Common warthog)
Lineage: Eukaryota; Metazoa; Chordata; Mammalia; Artiodactyla; Suidae
Exons: 6
Source: RefSeq, a predicted model, not a curated record